UCUCAACUGUCCAUUUCUUGUUGUCAGCCAAGGCUUCCAGUGGUGGGACUGGAUCGCAUUCAGUUGAGUUGUUGGCCAAUGGGAUCCCAUGGAAUUCCGUAAACAACACACACUGUUGCUAAGACAAAAUGUUGCUAAACAGACAGUAGGGCUCCAUUGCCAAGGACAACACCCACACAACUCACUGAGUAUGGAGAAGGCAAGCUGGUGACUACAAAACACUCCUGUCAUUCAAGUUUAGCCCUGUCCUCUUGAAGAAAGUAGCCAAAGUUAGGGUCUCACCUGACUCUAACACACCAGCAACAGGUCUAGCACCCAAAGCUUGACUGAGCACUCAGCAAGGAUGCAAGCUUCUGGAAAGGAUAUCCACGGAAGCCCCCUGAGGUGAACAGAGAUGGCAAAGACUGCAGCCAGCUCAGACCGUGUGCAGAUCUGGUAGAGCCGCAGAAAUGGCAUUGGAGACUUCCACUGGCGACAUGAGAUGCUUGCUGCCCUUCUCUAUGAUGUCACGAUGACACUCUUCCUGUGACUGCCACAGGGACCACAGAACAAAGAGACCCCGAGGUUUCCCACAGCUAGCUACAGGGGUCAACCAUGCUGGAGCACAGCAGCCAU
Non-coding RNA from Peromyscus maniculatus bairdii (prairie deer mouse), 615 nucleotides. NCBI's taxonomy places the organism in Eukaryota, Metazoa, Chordata, Mammalia, Rodentia, Cricetidae. The record is from RefSeq and is a predicted model, not a curated record.